This 75-nucleotide transfer RNA is filed under the name Candidatus Yonathbacteria bacterium CG_4_10_14_3_um_filter_43_12. RNAcentral's name for it is "tRNA-Arg". It matches the Rfam family "tRNA". From Rfam's summary of the family: Transfer RNA (tRNA) molecules are approximately 80 nucleotides in length. Their secondary structure includes four short double-helical elements and three loops (D, anti-codon, and T loops). The record is from RNAcentral. Lineage: Bacteria; Candidatus Yonathiibacteriota.
GCCCUCAUAGCUCAACGGAUAGAGUACCGGUCUUCGGAACCGAGGAUGGGGGUUCGAUUCACUCUGAGGGCACAA